GAGCGGGCGUAGCAAUACGUCAGCGGCAGACGGGUGAGUAACGCGUGGGAACGUACCUUUUGGUUCGGAACAACUGAGGGAAACUUCAGCUAAUACCGGAUAAGCCCUUACGGGGAAAGAUUUAUCGCCGAAAGAUCGGCCCGCGUCUGAUUAGCUAGUUGGUGAGGUAACGGCUCACCAAGGCGACGAUCAGUAGCUGGUCUGAGAGGAUGAUCAGCCACAUUGGGACUGAGACACGGCCCAAACUCCUACGGGAGGCAGCAGUGGGGAAUAUUGGACAAUGGGCGCAAGCCUGAUCCAGCCAUGCCGCGUGAGUGAUGAAGGCCCUAGGGUUGUAAAGCUCUUUUGUGCGGGA
RNAcentral lists this ribosomal RNA (355 nucleotides) under Bradyrhizobiaceae bacterium MS229c. Its description in RNAcentral is "bacterial SSU rRNA". It matches the Rfam family "Bacterial small subunit ribosomal RNA", at positions 64 to 445 of the family's 1533-position model. The record is from RNAcentral. Lineage: Bacteria; Pseudomonadati; Pseudomonadota; Alphaproteobacteria; Hyphomicrobiales; Nitrobacteraceae.